RNAcentral lists this long non-coding RNA (741 nucleotides) under Capra hircus (goat). RNAcentral describes it as "lncRNA (ENSCHIG00000001850.1)". Lineage: Eukaryota; Metazoa; Chordata; Mammalia; Artiodactyla; Bovidae. The record is from RNAcentral.
GUGAAAAUAGGGUUUGCAUUUUAUUUCCUGUCUCAUUCCAAAAUGAAUCUAUAGCUGCUAAAUAUGAGCUAAGCUAUGCCUGAGAAGAUGACUAGGAUUUAAGGAUGAGGUAGGUGUUUCAGGUUAGGAAAGCAGCUAUUUGUGGACUGUAAGGCAGACUUGUUCCUGGGCAGAAGCAGUGAGCUGACUAAAUUGGUGGAUGGAUCUGGAGAUGGGUUAGAUGGGGAAUGCUGUGUGAGUGUUUCCCACAGAGCGAGGUGGCAUCUGCCUAGCUGGAGGGCUGGCAGCACACCGAAUCUGCCUGCAGUGGAUUUUGAAACGUGGAACUGUGGCUAGUGGGAUGUCAAACAGACUGAGAGCUGCUUGCCAUGAUGGAGAUGAGGAAUGUAAGUCCAGCAUGGUGAAAAUGGUCUUGGAACCACAUGUCUUGCUUGAGUCAGUAUUCUUCAAGCACAAAAGAGAGCACCCCUCCCCUCUCCCAGGUCUGAAGUCCUAUAGACCUCCAAGAAGAAAAUGCCUGCAACCCAGAAAAGGGCAGGAGAUAAAGAGCUUUGGGAAGGCCAAGCUACAGGGCAGAAGCCUCUGUGUUCCUGAGUCAUAAUUUGGAAGAGAGCUGCUCAGAAGAGCCACUCAACCCAUACCACAUUGUGAUGAGAUACAAACACUGAUGACUGAACCACUGAGCAUCUGAGGUUCAUUUGUAACCUAAGCUUUUCCUAUAUUGAUUAAUACGUUGGCAAU